RNAcentral lists this unclassified non-coding RNA (5292 nucleotides) under Hevea brasiliensis (rubber tree). Lineage: Eukaryota; Viridiplantae; Streptophyta; Magnoliopsida; Malpighiales; Euphorbiaceae. The record is from RNAcentral.
ACCACAUUGUAGUCUAUUUGCUCACUUCCUGGGGCAGAGUCCCAACUAGUACUUGAUUUUCUUCCAUGUUUCAAACACGUCUCCGCCGCACCAAUUCAAUCCUAGCAAAUGCUCUUUUUAAUUUUAUAUCACACCCAUUGAAGCCUGCUUCCCCUUCCCCUGCCCAAAACAAAAAAAACUAAAAAGCCCCAUCAUUUCUAGUUUCUCUCUGGCUAUUCCUCCUUCCUUCUCUUCCUCCAAUUCUUUCUUCCCUUUGAUCCUCUCUUCCCUUUACCAAAAUUCAAAACCCUAAAAUUUCUCUCUCUCUCUCUCUGGUCUUGUUACUGCCAAAAUCUCCUUAGACUAUAUAUACUAUAGGGACGGCAGUUCUUUUGCCUGAUCAUGCCUUUGUUUUGUACAAAUCAAAAGCUGCAAAAGGUUCUUUCGUUAUCAAAAGACCAGUAUUUUAGGGUUUUUUUUCUAAAAUUGAAAGACUGAACCCAUUUCUUUCUUCUCAAUUGUGAUUCUACCUGAAUAAUCUGAAGUCUUUUUUGGUUGCCAAACAGUCAGUUUUUCUUGCACAAUGUCUGAUGAUAUGUUGAUUCAUUUUUCCUCCAACUCUUCCAAUCAAUCAGACCAGUCCCUGCCUACCAAGAUUGCCAAACUCGAAGCUCGCAUGGUGGGUAAGGCCUCUUCUGUAGCCUCUACCCCCGCCCAACCUCAGCAACUGCAGCAGCAACCCACUUGGUCCUCUGUCUCUUCCGCAGUGAAAUUUGGGCCCGCCGAGGACUUAAGUGAGCAGAUGAGUUCCAGUGAUUCUGAUGAUUAUGUAAUCAUUCUUGGCCUGCUUUUUUGGAAGGCAUACGGUUUAGGUACAAAUUUCCCAUGGGAGAUACACUGACCUUUUUUUUUCCUCCAUUUUCCAGAAUGGAGGGGAGUUUCUUAUACAAGCGAAUACUCAGAAGCGCCAAAGAAUACAAGAAGAUAACAAUUCAUCUGCUUUUGAACAUCUUGAGAUGACCCAGGAAGUGGCUGAUGGAAGGCAAAAGAUUGUAGAAACCGUGGAGACAAAGACCAGUGUUGAUACAAAUAGGAGAAAACAAGGGCGUGGUAGAGGGCAUUCUGUUUCAGGUAGAGGUCGUGGUUCCAGGGGCAAUGAUCAGAUGAGAUCACAAAUUUCUUCUUCAAUGGCAUUAUCUCCAAAUGAUCAGCUUGAGAAUUCAUACCUCAAGGAUAAUAAGCAUAAAGACAACUUACACAAUGAUGGUUGCCCUCUAGUAGAGGAGGACAUUACUUCCCUACGUGCGAAAGUUGCAGCACUAGAGGAGCAGCUUCGUAAAUCUCGACAAGAGGCCUCUGAUAAUCAAAAUCUCUGUCAGCAAUUAGAAAAGGAAUUGAAGGAACUAAAAGAUUAUGAGCAACAAAUGAAGCCCAAGAGAACUAAAAUGAUAUCUGAUCUGCUGAUAUCUGUCUCAAAAGCAGAAAGACAGGAAGCUAGGAUGAAGGUCCGACAGGAUUCUUUAAGACUUGGCAACGUGGGUGUGAUCAGAGCUGGAACUGUCAUAUCUGAGACCUGGGAGGACGGGCAAGUGCUAAAAGAUCUAAAUACUCAUCUUGUAUGUUAUAGUCAGAUCUUUUUCUCUUUCUCUACAAAUCAGUUAAUUGUCUUUUUUAACCUCUAUUUUUCUCCUCAUUUUAUUUCUUUUUGAUUUUUGAUUUUUCUUUAUUUGCAUAUGUAUGAACCUGCUGAAAUUGUUUUUUUACCUGUAAUUUAUUUGUGGAACAUUCUAAAUACAUGAAACAUAACCAGGGUGUUACAAAAAAAACAAAGAAGACUGAUGACAGAUAUGGUUAAAUUCUUUUGUGUCGAAUAGUGAUCUUCAAGGAUAUUGCCCUCACUAUCCACCUUCUGGGCUUAGGCGUUGGUAGACUUGCUUCUUGUCAAUUUUAUUGCAGAUAAAAUUCUGUCCAUAUCAAAUUUUCUUAUGUGCCUAUCAUAUACUUCCACAAAUUAUUUGCCACUCAGGCACUCACAUAUGAUUUUUUUGGUGCCACAUUUUAUUCAAUUUCCUAUUUAACUUGUAUUGUUAUUUACCAUUUCAUCUGCCUGUAAGAAGUUUAUAGGAAGUUUAUAGUUUUUUCAUGUAUGUUUGUACCAAGAACUAAACCCUUAUAACUUACUAUUUUUGAGGUUUUGAAUACCAAAUCCUUAGAAGGUCUGCUUAAAUACUGGAAAAUGUCAGGUUUCUGUGAUAACUUGUGUCAAUGUGGCUUCACUGCUUUCUCAUAAUUGAUUAUGCAUUUUGAGCUGAAAAUUUGCAGGAGUUCCCCUCUUUGUAGUUUGCAAACUUGCAUUCUUCUGUGGUUGUACAAAUUUUCAUUCUUUUUUUUUUUUAAAAAAUAUUCUUCUGUUUCAUACUUUCAUUUGAAAUGAAUCAAAUUUAAAAAAAUAUGUUGACAAGCUCUCUCUUAAUAUGAUUGCUGAUAUAGGAUGUCUAGGAAGAGCUUUAUAAACCGAGAUCAAAUUUGAAUUUUGUUUUUAUACUAUAGCUUGAGUUUGAAACCAUAGAAACAAUAAAAUAUUCUAAGUGUGAUCCUACCUACAAUUUUUUAGGCAUGACGCCCAAGAUUACCAUUGGCAUGAUUCCUAGAAUUAGAAUUACAGCACAAAACUCAUGAAUAUUCACUGGAAAACUUAAAAAUAAAGAAUUGCAAACUUGGAUAUUCCGAAGCUCAUCCUGUGAGUAACUAAGUACUUUAACUCCUCAUCCUUAUUGGAUUUGGAUUUUGGACUGUUAUUAAGUUUGCAUGAUUCCAAUAAAACUCGAAACAUAAAUAAACUAAAUUUAGGACCCAUAAAACCAUAAUCAAUCCCUAGCAAAACUGACAAAAUUACUGAAAUAUCCCUGCUUAGUAAAAACACUUCUGCUGCUGUUGUACGGUGAACAUUAACUUGCUAACAAGGGAUGAAUCCAGGAUUAGAAUUUUAAGGGGGCUGAAAAUUUAUAAGUUAUAAUAUGAUCAAAAUUAUAUUUUAAUUACACCAUAUAUGCAUGUAAUUAGACAACACACAUAUAACACAAAAAUAUGUUUCAUAUAAUGUUAUUUUAAACACGAAAGUUGAGAAAGUACAUUAUGCAAAUUUGUUCAGGUUCUGCAUGAUGCUCUUCCAUAUCAUAAAAAUUCAUCUCUAAUUAUAUUUAUGCCAAAAUUUUCAGUAAUUAUCCUCUCAAUAUAAAUAAUCAAGCAAUUUGCCCAAAAAAAAAAAAGUCAUCCUCCAUCUUAUUUAUAAGCUUAAUUUUAAAUAGUCUGAAAUUGGAAAUAUUAAAGUUACUUCUUGCUUUAUGUUACCAAAGGUCAAAGUCAAAUUACAUGGUGUCAGAUGUAGCAAGUAUUAUUAAGUUACUAGUAUGGCUUGGGAACAAAACUUAAAGAUUUUGGGCUUGAGGGAGUUUGAGUCAUUUUGAGAAAAGAUAAAUUGCUCCCUAUAUUUUUAAUCGGAUAACACUUCACUUAAUAUUUUAACAAUUUAUUUUUGACUUUUGGGGGGCCUUCCUUAAUCUGUCCCUGUUGACAAACUUAGUAAUAUAAAUCCAAAUGGAGUUCCUUUAUUGUCUGUAUCAAUCGCAUUUUCAUUUUGUGAUCUAAUUUUGUUUAGAGACACUUAUUGGAAACAAAGGAGGCAGUUGAGCGGCAGAGGAAGUCAUUGAAGAAACGACAAUCUGACAAGGGAGAUGGAACAGAUGCAGAGUUAGGAGCACAAGAAGAUGAUUUUCUCAUCCAGGAUGAGAUUUUUAAAUCUCGUCUGGCAAGCAUUAAGCGUGAGGAAGAAAUUAUUUUGCGUGAGAGAGAUCGUUAUGAACUUGAAAAAGGACGUCUCAUACGUGAAAUGAAACGAAUACGAGACGAGGAUGGUUCCCAUUUUAAUAAUUUUCAGAUUUUGAAUCACCGAUAUGCCCUCCUAAACCUCCUUGGCAAAGGAGGAUUUAGUGAGGUUUACAAGGCUUAUGAUUUGGUAGAGCAUAGAUAUGUUGCAUGUAAGCUUCAUGGUCUAAAUGCUCAAUGGAGUGAGGAUAAGAAGCAAAGUUACAUAAGGCAUGCAAUACGGGAGUACAAUAUUCACAAGACGUUGGUGCAUAAUCACAUUGUUCGGCUUUGGGACAUUUUUGAGAUUGACCAGAAUACAUUCUGCACUGUCUUAGAGUAUUGUAGCGGAAAAGAUCUUGAUGCUGUGCUUAAAGCAACACCUAUAUUGCCUGAGAGAGAAGCUCGGAUCAUUAUUGUGCAGAUAUUUCAAGGCCUUGUAUACUUGAAUAAAAGAGCACAGAAGAUUAUCCAUUAUGAUCUGAAGCCCGGGAAUGUUCUAUUUGAUGAGUUUGGUGUUGCUAAAGUUACAGAUUUCGGUCUGAGCAAGAUUGUGGAGGAUGACAUUGGAUCCCAGGGAAUGGAACUUACAUCCCAGGGAGCUGGAACAUAUUGGUACUUGCCACCAGAAUGCUUUGAGCUCAGCAAGACUCCUUUAAUAUCAUCAAAGGUUGAUGUCUGGUCAGCUGGGGUUCUAUUUUACCAAAUGCUCUUUGGCAGACGUCCUUUUGGGCAUGACCAGACUCAAGAACGAAUAUUACGUGAAGACACAAUUAUCAAGGCUCGCAGGGUUGAGUUCCCUUCAAAGCCUUCUGUCUCUAAUGAGGCAAAGGAUUUUAUUCGCCGAUGUCUAACAUAUAACCAAACUGAGAGACCAGAUGUUCUAACUAUCGCUCAAGAUCAGUAUCUUACAUACUCAAAGAAGUAGUGUACAAAGGCUCAGAUAAGAAGGGUUGCAUGGGGCAGGAAAGCUGACAAUUUCUACCGAUCAAUACUUGAAAGGGGAAAAAAAAAGGUUGUUCAGCAAUACCAACUUGGAAUUUUGUAUAUGCUAUUAAAGGUUUUGUAAAAACUUUUCCCCUGGCUUUUGAGGGCAAGAUUUUAGUUCCCCUCCCCUCCUUUUGGGCUAAAGUUCAUUUUGGCAUCUUGAUUCGUUUGUUAUAACAGAUGCUUAUUAUAUUUUUGAGAGAGGAAAAAAGAAAAUGACCUGUACAGAAAAGUUUAUUUAAUUUUAAGGAAAUGGAGAGGGGAUGUUUAAUGCAUUGUAGCAUUUGAUUAAAACUUUAGAGACACCACUAGUUAGUUCUUGAGUUUUACUAUUAUUAAUAUUUAGGCUCUUUGUAUUUGAAAAAUAUAUUGUUUAAUCCCUCAGUUUUACUUUUGUCAUACAUUUAGAUCUUUUUAUCCUUUUUAUCUAUUUGGGCUGUUAGUAUUUAAGAUCAAUUACUG